AUGAGCAGGCACUUACUGGCCACCACGCAGGCGGAGCACCAGGUGAAGGGUAGACUCCUUCUGGAUGUUGUAGUCUGCCAGGGUGCGGCCAUCCUCAAGCUGCUUGCCGGCAAAGAUCAGACGCUGCUGGUCCGGGGGAAUGCCCUCCUUGUCCUGGAUCUUCGCCUUCACAUUGUCAAUGGUGUCCGAGGACUCCACCUCCAGGGUGAUGGUCUUGCCGGUGAGCGUCUUGACGAAAAUCUGCAUGCCUCCACGAAGCCUGAGCACCAGGUGGAGGGUGGACUCCUUCUGGAUGUUGUAGUCAGCCAGGGUGCGGCCAUCCUCGAGCUGCUUGCCGGCAAAGAUGAGGCGCUGCUGGUCCGGGGGGAUUCCCUCCUUGUCCUGGAUCUUGGCCUUCACAUUGUCGAUCGUGUCAGACGACUCGACCUCAAGGGUGAUGGUCUUGCCGGUGAGGGUCUUCACGAAGAUCUGCAUCUGUAA
This 480-nucleotide ribosomal RNA is filed under the name Triticum aestivum (bread wheat). RNAcentral describes it as "partial small subunit ribosomal RNA". Lineage: Eukaryota; Viridiplantae; Streptophyta; Magnoliopsida; Poales; Poaceae. The record is from RNAcentral.